GCCAGGUAUGGUGGCGCGUGCCUGUAGUCUCAGCUACUGAGGAGGCUGAGGCAGGAGACUCGCUUGAACCCAGGAGGCAGAGGUUGCAGUGAGCCGAGAUUGCACCACUGCACUCCAGCCUGGGCAACAGAGCGAGACUCUGUCUCAA
This 148-nucleotide non-coding RNA is filed under the name Chlorocebus sabaeus (green monkey). The record is from Rfam by way of RNAcentral. Lineage: Eukaryota; Metazoa; Chordata; Mammalia; Primates; Cercopithecidae.